This 882-nucleotide ribosomal RNA is filed under the name uncultured Bacillota bacterium. RNAcentral's name for it is "bacterial SSU rRNA". It matches the Rfam family "Bacterial small subunit ribosomal RNA", at positions 8 to 916 of the family's 1533-position model. Lineage: Bacteria; Bacillati; Bacillota. The record is from RNAcentral.
AGAGUUUGAUCCUGGCUCAGGACAAACGCUGGCGGCGUGCCUAAUGCAUGCAAGUCGUACGGGCCCGCAAGGGUCAGUGGCAAACGGGUGAGUAACACGUGGGUAACCUGCCGAGGAGUGGGGAAUAACCCCCUGAAAGGGGGGCUAAUACCGCAUGAAGUGACGGGGCCUUGGCCCUGUCCCCAAAGCCCGCAAGGGCGCUCCUUGAGGGGCCUGCGGCUGAUUAGCUAGUUGGUGGGGUAAAGGCCUACCAAGGCGAUGAUCGGUAGCCGGUCUGAGAGGAUGUACGGCCACACUGGGACUGCGACACGGCCCAGACUCCUACGGGAGGCAGCAGCAAGGGAUAUUGCGCAAUGGGCGAAAGCCUGACGCAGCGACGCCGCGUGGGUGAUGAAGGCCUUCGGGUCGUAAAGCCCUUUUGCUGGGGAAGACAAGGACGGUACCCAGCGAAUAAGCCCCGGCUAACUACGUGCCAGCAGCCGCGGUAAUACGUAGGGGGCGAGCGUUGUCCGGAAUUACUGGGCGUAAAGAGCACGUAGGCGGUUCGUUAAGUCGGGUGUGAAAUCCCUCGGCCUAACCGGGGGGGGUCAUCCGAUACUGGCGGACUUGAGGGAGGCAGAGGGAAGCGGAAUUCCCGGAGUAGUGGUGAAAUGCGUAGAUACCGGGAGGAACACCAGUGGCGAAGGCGGCUUCCUGGGCUUCUCCUGACGCUGAGGUGCGAAGGCGUGGGGAGCGAACCGAAUUAGAUACUCGGGUAGUCCACGCGGUAAACGAUGGACACUGGGUGUUGGGGGUAGCGACCCCCCCAGCGCCGUAGCUAACGCGAUAAGUGUCCCGCCUGGGGAGUACGGCCGCAAGGCUAAAACUCAAAGGAAUUGACGG